UAGCCUGUUCCUCUCUUUAGCAUUGACUUCCCCUGAUAAAUUUGUGCAUCGUUUUCUGGUCAAGUAAGGUGUUUUAUGGAGAAUAAACUCACAGCCCGAAUAUUAUUGGAGUUUGAACAAUUUGUGAAGACUUCACUUAGGCCUUUAGCCAUUCAACAAAAUGCUUGAAAUUAUUGUAGGAGUCUCCGCCUUCUUUGAUACUGUUCAUCGCCCUUUCCUUGAGAUCCAAAGCAUUUGCUUUAUAAUUCCCUCUGUCCAGUAGCUCCUCCACUUUAUACUGGAUUUCUUGUCUUGUAAUUAUCCCUCUUUCAUCUCGGUUGAACCCCAAUCCUACCCUCCAAAUGUUCCAAAUGAAGUUCUCAUUAUGGAACUGAUCUGCGAAAUAAGGCCAACACAAGAAAGGGAUGCCAUUGCUCACACCUUCCAUAGUGGAGUUCCAUCCACAGUGUUUCAUGAAGCAAGCAAUGGAAGGAUGUUCCAGAACUUUUUGUUGAGGUGCCCAACUAACUAUACGCCCUCGAGUGGCAACUCUGUCGAGAAAUCCCACCGGGAAGGCAUCAUUCAUGUCAAUAGUAAUAUUUGGACGAACAACCCAGAGGAAUGGUCUGUUUGAAAGUUCAAGGCCCUUGGCCAAUUCAUGGAAUUGGGUUUGGUCAAGAAUUGAUGUACUGCCAAAGGCAACGUAUAUCACUGAUUGUGGUCGUUGUUGAUCAAGCCAUUUCAAACAAGUUAAGUCUUCUUGCCAGAAGCUUCCUACUGAGUCUCCAUGCCUGUUGCUUGCCAAAAGUGGACUUAUUGGUGUGAUCUUUGGAUCGAAGAUAAAUGCCGCAGGCUCAAAGUCAUAAGUUGAAUUGCAAAGCACCCAGUCUGUCAAUUUUAUUGAUCUGUCGCUUCUGACCAUAUUUUCGAAAAACAUUAUCUGUAUUUUCUUGUGGCUAAUGCAGGCCCACCCAAGGUAUGCUGUGUUCAUGGCAGGCAUGGUUGGUGACAACUGAAACAUCUGUUUUUUUGUUGGAGCUCCUGCAAAAGAAAAUGCUAAUCAACAUGACACAAGAGAAGGCAGCUCGUCGGAUUUCUUUCUCUGCUGCAAUAUCCAUGGCCCAUCCAAGAUUGUGAUCUGCUAUAACGCAAGUGAUCUUUUCAGUGUCUGACGAAUUAAUUUUUUCAAUGAGCUCCUCAAAUUUCUUUGGCAUAAGCAAUAGGACUGAUUCACCAUGCCUCUCCAGGUUUUUCCUAUCCUCUAGAGGUUCAAGGCCAUCUUGGAUUGAAACAAGAUGAAUUUGAUCCCCUAUUCCAUCCUUCAUUGCCAAUGAAUCCAUUACCUUGCAUGAAUGUACUCUGUGUUUACAAAUGUAAUUCUUAUGCCAUGUUUGACUAAGGAUUGUGAAAGCUCCAUGAAAGGAAUUACAUGACCUUGUGCUGGAUAAGGGAGACUAAAGGUAAGGCCAACUUUGAAGACACCGCCACAUUUUUUUCAUGUUGCUGGACCUUUAUUGAAAGAAAGAUUCUCAUUCUUUGAUGCAGGGCUUUGGAUAAUAGGGCAUAGUGGGGAAAAAAUAUGGCUUUGGAACAACCAGGAGACUGGGGGCACAAACAGCCAAUUUUGAAGACAUCAUCACAUUUUCCUUGAUUUGUGAGACGGACUUCAUGGUGACUUACCCAGUUUGGGCUUAUUGGGUUUCACAGUGACUAUUUCCCUAGGUUUGGUUUUAGACAUUUAUGAUCUGUAAUUCUCUUCCAUUUCUUUUUGAACCUUGCAGCAUAGAGUCUAGACAGUAUGCAAAUUGGAGAAUUCCUCAGUGACACUAUCUCAAGCCUGACGCCGAAAAAGUUGUGGCAGUAAGAGAUGAAAUCUUUUUGUUGGUAAACACAGAUGCAGAAGUUGAUUCAAGUUUGAAAGUUACCUGCAAAUU
Long non-coding RNA from Pistacia vera, 1913 nucleotides. RefSeq lists it as uncharacterized. NCBI's taxonomy places the organism in Eukaryota, Viridiplantae, Streptophyta, Magnoliopsida, Sapindales, Anacardiaceae. The transcript is spliced from 7 exons. The record is from RefSeq and is a predicted model, not a curated record.